UUUAUACUGUGAAACUGCGAAUGGCUCAUUAAAUCAGUUAUCGUUUAUUUGAAAGUACCUUACUACAUGGAUACCUGUGGUAAUUCUAGAGCUAAUACAUGCUGAAAACCUCGACUUCGGAAGGGGUGUAUUUAUUAGAUAAAAAACCAAUGCCCUUCGGGGCUCCUUGGUGAAUCAUAAUAACUUAACGAAUCGCAUGGCCUUGCGCCGGCGAUGGUUCAUUCAAAUUUCUGCCCUAUCAACUUUCGAUGGUAGGAUAGUGGCCUACCAUGGUGGCAACGGGUAACGGGGAAUUAGGGUUCGAUUCCGGAGAGGGAGCCUGAGAAACGGCUACCACAUCCAAGGAAGGCAGCAGGCGCGCAAAUUACCCAAUCCCGACACGGGGAGGUAGUGACAAUAAAUACUGAUACGGGGCUCUUUUGGGUCUCGUAAUUGGAAUGAGUACAAUCUAAAUCCCUUAACGAGGAACAAUUGGAGGGCAAGUCUGGUGCCAGCAGCCGCGGUAAUUCCAGCUCCAAUAGCGUAUAUUAAAGUUGUUGCAGUUAAAAAGCUCGUAGUUGAACCUUGGGUCUGGCUGGCCGGUCCGCCUCACCGCGAGUACUGGUCCGGCUGGACCUUUCCUUCUGGGGAAUCUCAUGGCCUUCACUGGCUGUGGGGGGAACCAGGACUUUUACUGUGAAAAAAUUAGAGUGUUCAAAGCAGGCCUUUGCUCGAAUACAUUAGCAUGGAAUAAUAGAAUAGGACGUGCGGUUCUAUUUUGUUGGUUUCUAGGACCGCCGUAAUGAUUAAUAGGGAUAGUCGGGGGCGUCAGUAUUCAGCUGUCAGAGGUGAAAUUUCUUGGAUUUGCUGAAGACUAACUACUGCGAAAGCAUUCGCCAAGGAUGUUUUCAUUAAUCAGGGAACGAAAGUUAGGGGAUCGAAGACGAUCAGAUACCGUCGUAGUCUUAACCAUAAAC
RNAcentral lists this ribosomal RNA (956 nucleotides) under Aspergillus niger. RNAcentral's name for it is "SSU rRNA". It matches the Rfam family "Eukaryotic small subunit ribosomal RNA", at positions 73 to 1037 of the family's 1831-position model. The record is from RNAcentral. Lineage: Eukaryota; Fungi; Ascomycota; Eurotiomycetes; Eurotiales; Aspergillaceae.